AGAGUUUGAUCAUGGCUCAGAUUGAACGCUGGCGGCAGGCCUAACACAUGCAAGUCGAGCGGGGACUUCGGUCCUAGCGGCGAACGGGUGAGGAAUGCUUGGGAAUCUGCCUGGUAGUGGGGGAUAACGUUCCGAAAGGAACGCUAAUACCGCAUACGUCCUACGGGAGAAAGGGGGGGAUCUUCGGACCUCUCGCUAUCAGACGAGCCCAAGCGGGAUUAGCUAGUUGGUGAGGUAAAGGCUCACCAAGGCGACGAUCCCUAGCUGGUCUGAGAGGAUGAUCAGCCACACUGGAACUGAGACACGGUCCAGACUCCUACGGGAGGCAGCAGUGGGGAAUAUUGGACAAUGGGCGAAAGCCUGAUCCAGCCAUGCCGCGUGUGUGAAGAAGGCCUUCGGGUUGUAAAGCACUUUAAGCGAGGAGGAAGGUUCGUCACCUAAUACGUGACGGAAUUGACGUUACUCGCAGAAUAAGCACCGGCUAACUCUGUGCCAGCAGCCGCGGUAAUACAGAGGGUGCAAGCGUUAAUCGGAAUUACUGGGCGUAAAGCGCGCGUAGGCGGUUGUGUAAGUUGGAUGUGAAAUCCCCGGGCUUAACCUGGGCACUGCAUUCAAAACUGCACGGCUAGAGUAUUGGAGAGGAAGGUAGAAUUCCAGGUGUAGCGGUGAA
RNAcentral lists this ribosomal RNA (670 nucleotides) under Pseudomonadaceae bacterium enrichment culture clone JUMSS254PW-30(R10). Its description in RNAcentral is "bacterial SSU rRNA". It matches the Rfam family "Bacterial small subunit ribosomal RNA", at positions 8 to 685 of the family's 1533-position model. Lineage: Bacteria; Pseudomonadati; Pseudomonadota; Gammaproteobacteria; Pseudomonadales; Pseudomonadaceae. The record is from RNAcentral.